Molecule: ribosomal RNA, 253 nt
Filed under: uncultured bacterium
Lineage: Bacteria
Description: partial 16S ribosomal RNA
Rfam family: Bacterial small subunit ribosomal RNA
Source: RNAcentral
UACGGGGGGGGCAAGCGUUGUUCGGAAUUACUGGGCGUAAAGGGCUCGUAGGUGGCCAACUAAGUCAGACGUGAAAUCCCUCGGCUUAACCGGGGAACUGCGUCUGAUACUGGAUGGCUUGAGUUCGGGAGAGGGAUGCGGAAUUCCAGGUGUAGCGGUGAAAUGCGUAGAUAUCGGGAAGAACACCAGUGGCGAAGGCGCUCUACUGGGCCACAACUGACGCUGAGGGACGAAAGCUAGGGGAGCGAAAGGG